Molecule: non-coding RNA, 32 nt
Filed under: Homo sapiens (human)
Lineage: Eukaryota; Metazoa; Chordata; Mammalia; Primates; Hominidae
Source: RNAcentral
UGCCCAAAUAAACUCUCAGCCAUGCUUAGCAA